AACGUAGGAGGCGAACGUUAUCCGGAAUUACUGGGCGUAAAGCGCACGCAGGCGGCUUCGUAAGUCCAACGUGAAAGCUCCCGGCUUAACCGGGAGAGGUCGUUGGAUACUGCGAGGCUCGAGGUUAGGAGAGGGAAGUGGAAUUCCCGGUGUAGUGGUGGAAUACGUAGAUAUCGGGAGGAACUCCAGUGGCGAAGGCGACUUCCUGGCCUACACCUGACGCUGAGGUGCGAAAGCGUGGGGAGCAAACAGG
Molecule: ribosomal RNA, 253 nt
Filed under: uncultured bacterium
Lineage: Bacteria
Description: partial 16S ribosomal RNA
Rfam family: Bacterial small subunit ribosomal RNA
Source: RNAcentral